AUACGUAGGGGGCGAGCGUUGUCCGGAAUGACUGGGCGUAAAGGGCGCGUAGGCGGUUCGGUAAGUUAGGAGUGAAAGUCCAGCUUUCAAGGGCGGAAUAGCUUUUAAUACUGUCGGGCUAGAGUGCAGAAGAGGUAAGCGGAAUUCCCAGUGUAGCGGUGAAAUGCGUAGAGAUUGGGAAGAACACCAGUGGCGAAGGCGGCGUACUGGGCUGUAACGGACGCUGAGGCGCGAAAGAGGGGGGAGCGAACAGGAUUAGAUACCCUGGUAGUCCACGUUGUAAACGAUGAGUGCUAGGUGUAGGGGGUAUCGACCCCUUCUGUGCCGCAGUCAACACAAUAAGCAUUCCGCCUGUGGAGUACGGCCGCAAGGUUGAAACUCAAAUGAAUUGACGGGG
This 397-nucleotide ribosomal RNA is filed under the name uncultured bacterium. RNAcentral's name for it is "partial 16S ribosomal RNA". It matches the Rfam family "Bacterial small subunit ribosomal RNA", at positions 523 to 918 of the family's 1533-position model. The record is from RNAcentral.